UACUCCUACGGGAGGCAGCAGUGGGGAAUAUUGCACAAUGGGCGCAAGCCUGAUGCAGCGACGCCGCGUGCGGGAUGGAGGCCUUCGGGUUGUAAACCGCUUUUGUUCAAGGGCAAGGCAGGCUUUCGGGCCUGUUGAGUGGAUUGUUCGAAUAAGCACCGGCUAACUACGUGCCAGCAGCCGCGGUAAUG
This 191-nucleotide ribosomal RNA is filed under the name uncultured Bifidobacterium sp. RNAcentral's name for it is "partial 16S ribosomal RNA". It matches the Rfam family "Bacterial small subunit ribosomal RNA", at positions 334 to 525 of the family's 1533-position model. Lineage: Bacteria; Bacillati; Actinomycetota; Actinomycetes; Bifidobacteriales; Bifidobacteriaceae. The record is from RNAcentral.